UUUUUUUUUUUAAUGAUUAGGGAGUUGGUCCACGUUGGCUCAUCCUGGCAGCAUCACAGGCAUUGCCAAACUCUCGGAACCGCCCGUGGGGCUGGGGCCUGCCUGGGGCGCUCUGCUCCUCCUCUGGAGCUCCAGGGGCCCCAGCAAGAUGCUUGGCUUCCAUGACACGUGCUCCGAAGUCCCUGGUGAUGGGGCCUGCUCCAGAGAGAGAUGACAAUUUGGCUCAGAGAGUUGAGAGGACUCUGCCCAGGAUCACACCCCUGGCUCCCUCCAGGAACGGCAGGUCACAGUGAGGAGUCCAGCAUGUGGGAGAAUCUCCAACCAGACGGGUGCCUCUGCUGUGUUGGGAGAUUUAUGUCAUCCAAUAGUCACUCAACAAACACCCCAGGCAUGAAGCAGAGAGUCUGUGUCAUGGCAGGAAAGGGGUAGUCUUUGCCCAGAGACUGCUGUCACCAGGAAGCCUGACCUUUCCUUAGGACAGCAGGAGGUGGGAACUCAGUGUCUUUCAGGCCUCUGUGACCAAGCAGACCUGCUCCCCUGGGCUGGCCUGAGGGUGGCUGUGGAGGGGUGGGGCCCGGCGCUGGUGGACCCAGGACCUCGUGAGGGGCAGGUGGGAAGCAGAGUGCUGGAUUCUGAGCCCAGGGGCAGCCCGGGCAGGACAGGUCAGGAGGAGAGGGGCUGCUCAGGCUUCCUGGGGGGCUGGUUCUCCAGCUCUUUGCAGACCAGCAGGAACCCUCACGACCACCAAGAAAGUGUGCUGCUCUCUGAGGCGGGAGCCUGGGGAGGGCAGGGGCUGAUCCAGCCCGCUUACCACGCUCCCCUGCACCUGUCGCUAGGCUGUCCCAGUAAAUACGCGCUCAGUGAAGAUGUGGGGAGGAGAUUUGUGUCCCGUGUCCCCAAAUUCCCCCCAGAGCCCAAGAUCC
RNAcentral lists this long non-coding RNA (923 nucleotides) under Equus caballus (horse). RNAcentral's name for it is "lncRNA (ENSECAG00000038520.2)". The record is from RNAcentral. Lineage: Eukaryota; Metazoa; Chordata; Mammalia; Perissodactyla; Equidae.